RNAcentral lists this long non-coding RNA (1128 nucleotides) under Taeniopygia guttata (zebra finch). Its description in RNAcentral is "lncRNA (ENSTGUG00000029084.1)". The record is from RNAcentral. Lineage: Eukaryota; Metazoa; Chordata; Aves; Passeriformes; Estrildidae.
UUACAGGUCCCACAAACCAUAAGCAGUGCAGCACCAAAUGGAUCUGUAAUGAGGGUGCAUCACAAAGACUCUGUCUGUGGAAGGGCAAUCCCAUUGUAGUCAUUCAAGUUACAAGAUUUCCUUAAAAAAAACCAACUUUAUUCAUAAUUUCUACUGUCAGAGAGGACAUUUGCAUAAGGACUUCUGGCUGCAGUUUCAGAUAGAGACAAGGUCACAGAGAUGCCAGUACAGUGUGGGGGCUGCCCACAGCUGCUCUAACAGUGUGCUGCCUGAAUUCAUCCUGUGGCCGUGGGAUACACACAGCAGAACACAGACCUGAAGGCCAUCCUGUAUGUGGCUGUACUUGGCCUAACUAUUGCAUGGAUAACUACAGUCUCAAUGCACAAUGAUCCUUCCAAGGUCCACCUUCCUGCAAUGUGGACGCAUUUAUUCCCAUUAAAGGAACGCCAUUACAGGCGAGAUCGCUGGAGUGAUCUCUGAAGAACAAGAAUGCCCUGACAGAAGUAGAGGGUUUUUUUCCUGCUCCCUUAUAUUUAUUCUCUUCCCCUCCCUCUAUCUAAGCAAGGUGCCCUCAGCUUUUCAUAUAGUUAGGAAUGUGAAGAGGAUAAAACCAAAGCCACACAAAGAGGUGUGCCUCCAAGUGCUUUGCAGUGCUGUGGAGACCACUGCAACUGUGGAGCUCCUUGGUUCCCCGGCGUCCGUCAGGGCCUUGUACAGGGCUGAGCAGCACUGGAGGAAACGUGAGGGCACACCUGAGGGGACACAGGUGCACCCCAGGGCAGAGCAGCGCCGUUAGCGGCGGCCUCCCCUCACACCGCACCAGCUGCUGGGGCAAGCCGGGCAGAACCGAGUCUGGGCUGUGCUGCCGCCGCCGGGAGGUUUCUGCCGCCUCACGUCAGACGUGUGCCACCACAGGCGUUCAGCCGCCGAAGCGAGGCAGCAGCUCACAAAAACACUCAGUUCUGCCCGACUUGCCUUAGGAGCUGCUGCGUUGUGCAGGGAGGCCGCUCCUGGCCUGGGGUGCACCUGUGGUCCUCUCAGGUGUGCCCUCACGUUUCCUCCAGUGCUGCUCAGCCCUGUAUGAGGCCCUGAGGGACACCGGGGAGCUCCGCACCGCCCCCGCCGGUC